UGAACUCCCCGAAAUUCAAUUUCGACUACGCGUACAAGUCAUAAAACAAGAAGUGAAGCUAUAAAGGCCUCAAACCACCGAACGAGGCAUUAGAACUCAAAACGACCGGUCAAUUCGUUACAUCGAUGCAAGUGGAAUACACGGGUAAAUGAGGAGAUGAAGAGGAUGUAGCGCAAAAGGUUGAAAGUGCCCUAAUUGAAGUUAACUCUGUUAAGCUUCAGUUAAUAUUUGGAUUAAAAAAUGAGAGAUUUAUACAUAAGUACAUUCCAUACACAUACAUUGUAACUAGGUGACCUACAUACAACUUUGCAAAGUUGUAGCCCGAAAAUAAUCGGUCAAGAUUCAACAUCUCACUCCAAAUAGGUUCUUGAAAUCCAUAUUCUUAUUUUUACAGAUCAAGAUUCUACCUAAUUCUCCGAAUUAAUAAUUGUGACUCAAACUUUAGUUCCACAAACCAAAUCCAUUUGGGUGGUAAAAAUUAAUUAUUAAUAUAAUCCACUAUUUUAGUUAAAUGAGCUUAAAUAAGUGGGUUAAAAUUUCGAAUUUGAUUUUGUGAGAAAUUUAGAGUGGGUGUUGUUUAGACUUGUUAGAAAG
Molecule: long non-coding RNA, 594 nt
Filed under: Nicotiana benthamiana
Lineage: Eukaryota; Viridiplantae; Streptophyta; Magnoliopsida; Solanales; Solanaceae
Description: long non-coding RNA (NBEN_LNC030938)
Source: RNAcentral